This 497-nucleotide ribosomal RNA is filed under the name uncultured bacterium. RNAcentral's name for it is "partial 16S ribosomal RNA". It matches the Rfam family "Bacterial small subunit ribosomal RNA", at positions 28 to 507 of the family's 1533-position model. The record is from RNAcentral.
GAUGAACGCUGGCGGCGUGCCUAAUACAUGCAAGUCGAGCGAACAGAUGAGGAGCUUGCUCCUCUGACGUUAGCGGCGGACGGGUGAGUAACACGUGGAUAACCUACCUAUAAGACUGGGAUAACUUCGGGAAACCGGAGCUAAUACCGGAUAAUAUAUUGAACCGCAUGGUUCAAUAGUGAAAGACGGUUUUGCUGUCACUUAUAGAUGGAUCCGCGCCGCAUUAGCUAGUUGGUAAGGUAACGGCUUACCAAGGCAACGAUGCGUAGCCGACCUGAGAGGGUGGUCCGCCACAACGGAACUGAGACCCGGUCCAGACUCCCAAGGGAGGCAGCAGUAGGGAAUCUUCCGCAAUGGGCGAAAGCUUGACGGAGCAACGCCGCGUGAGUGAUGAAGGUCUUCGGAUCGUAAAACUCUGUUAUUAGGGAAGAAAAAAUGUGUAAGUAACUAUGCACGUCUUGACGGUACCUAAUCAGAAAGCCACGGCUAACUACGUG